This 308-nucleotide ribosomal RNA is filed under the name uncultured eukaryote. RNAcentral's name for it is "SSU rRNA". It matches the Rfam family "Eukaryotic small subunit ribosomal RNA", at positions 587 to 972 of the family's 1831-position model. The record is from RNAcentral.
AGCUCCAAUAGCGUAUAUUAAAGUUGUUGCAGUUAAAAAGCUCGUAGUUGGAUUUCAAGAACAGCAUUGGUGAAAACCAUAUGCUUUCUACCAGUCUUUGACUGUUACUGUGAGAAAAUUAGAGUGUUUAAAGCAGGCAAUUGCAGGAAUACAUUAGCAUGGAAUAACGAAUGUACUUACAAUUUGGUUGAUUGUAGGUUACGGUUAAUAGGGACAGUUGGGGGCAUUAGUAUUUAAUUGUCAGAGGUGAAAUUCUUGGAUUAGUUAAAGACUAACGUAUGCGAAAGCAUUUGCCAAGGAUGUUUUCA